UCACGAAGAACUNCGAUUGCGAAGGCAGCUUGCUGGACUGUAACUGACGCUGAGGCACGAAAGCGUGGGGAUCAAACAGGAUUAGAUACCCUGGUAGNNCACGCCGUAAACGAUGAAUGCUAGCUGUUAGCGAUAUACUGUUAGCGGCACAGAGAAAUCGUUAAGCAUUCCACCUGGGGAGUACGCCGGCAACGGUGAAACUCAAAGGAAUUGACGGGGGCCCGCACAAGCGGAGGAACAUGUGGUUUAAUUCGAUGAUACGCGAGGAACCUUACCUGGGCUUAAAUUGCAGUGGAAUAACGUGGAAACAUGUUAGCCUUCGGGCCGCUGUGAAGGUGCUGCAUGGUUGUCGUCAGCUCGUGCCGUGAGGUGUCGGCUUAAGUGCCAUAACGAGCGCAACCCUCAUCGAUAGUUACUAACAGGUUAAGCUGAGGACUCUAUCGAGACUGCCGACGUAAGUCGUGAGGAAGGUGGGGAUGACGUCAAAUCAGCACGGCCCUUACGUCCAGGGCUACACACGUGUUACAAUGGGGGGUACAAAGGGCAGCUACCUGGCGACAGGAUGCUAAUCUCAAAAACCUCUCUCAGUUCGGAUUGGAGUCUGCAACCCGACUCCAUGAAGCUGGAUUCGCUAGUAAUCGCGCAUCAGCCACGGCGCGGUGAAUACGUUCCCGGGCCUUGUACACACCGCCCGUCAAGCCAUGGGAGCCGGGGGGACCUGAAGUAUGCAACCGUAAGGAGCGUCCUAGGGUAAAACUGGUGACUGGGGCU
This 771-nucleotide ribosomal RNA is filed under the name uncultured prokaryote. RNAcentral describes it as "bacterial SSU rRNA". It matches the Rfam family "Bacterial small subunit ribosomal RNA", at positions 697 to 1482 of the family's 1533-position model. The record is from RNAcentral.